UUUUGUUUGCUACUAGUAGAUUGAGACGCUAUUGAAAUUGAAAGCUGUUAAUGAUCAAAUAAUUUAAUUAGUAUAUUAAUAUUACCAUCAUACUAUGUUAAUUCUACAAUCUACUUAAGUUAUUAAAAAAAAUUACAUGAUAAGUUAUAAAAAUUAAGAACAAAGGAAUAAGGAGUUAAGGACAGUGGCCACUGGUUACUGUUACAGUAACACAGUAACACUGUAACAGUGCAUACGAGCAUGUCACAGGUUCACUGUUACAGAUAGGGGUGUACAUAGGUCGGGUUGGUUCGGUUUUUUAUUAAAAUAUAACCAAACCAAUAAUGUCGGUUUUCUAAAUCUAUAAACCAAAUCAAACCAAUAUACAAUCGGUUUUUUUAUUUUAAUUUUAGUCGGGUUUUUUCGGUUUUUCGGUUUUCUUGAUUUUUUUACAAUUAUAAUGUGAUUGAAGGAACUGAAAAGAUAAAAAAAAAAAUGGUCAUAGAGUAGUUCUAAUAAAAAUUAAGUUGACAAAUUACUAAGACGUCUAAACUACUAUCUCUCAAAGUAAUAUUAUAUGGAUACCUAAGUAGUUCAAUUUCUAAGUCACUAGUCACAGUAGCUUAUCUGAAAGUUCCCUUCACAUAAAAUGUAAGCAUACAAAAGAAUGAAGAAUUGGAGACAACUUAUUAAAAACUUAACUCCAUAAAGUGAUUAAUUAUAACAUAAUUCCAUAAAAAAAAAAAAAGAAGAGAAACAAACCUAAAUCACAACUUGACGAAUGAGAAAAGUAAGAUGAAAGUAACAUGAGGAAAUAAUGAGAACUCUUUGAAAACUUGGAAGUAAAAUGUAAAAAGUGAAGCAAUAAAAGAGUUUUAGGUUUUUAUAUUAAUAUUGGGCUUUGUAUUAAUUUGUUAUUAAUGGAAAAAUACUAUAAUUAAAGGCCCAAGAAUAUAUAUCUAUUUUUUGAAUAUAAAAAAAAUAAUAAAAGUAAUUAGAAAGUAGAUUAUAAGUAAUAUUUUUUUACGUAUAAAAAAUUAAAAUUAUAUAUGUAUUACGUCGGUUCGGUUUGGGUUUGCUUUGGGUUCGGUUUGAUUUUAUUUUUGUUAAUACCAAAUCAAACCAAGAAUGAGCGGUUUUUUUUGCCAAGACCAAAACCAAACCAUAAGUCGGUUUUUUUCCUCGGUUUGGUUUGAUUCAUCGGUUCGGUUUGACUUAACGGUUCGGUUUGUACACCCUUAGUUACAGAUGAUGCCGGCUGCUAGAAAAUAGAAGAAAAAGAAGAUAAAAAGAGAAAGAAAAAAAAUAACAACACCAAAAGACAUAUCCAGUCGCUGGAUUAAGAAGAAGAAAGAAGAAAAAAAAAUUACCGGAGUUCCGGAAGUCGCCGGAGUUCGUCAUCGGUCGCCGGAAUCAAACUUGUGAGAUGAAGGGUAGUAGCCGUGGUCUUCAAUUUGUAAGUUGGCAGUGUUAAAAUGUGUAAAUAAACCCUAAAAAUAGCUUUAUAUAUCUAAAACCCUAAUUUUUUAAAAAACAAUUAAAAGGCGUCGCCUUUCUCGCCACGUCGCCUUUCUUGAAAAGGCAUCGCCUUUUCAUUUUCACCAUGCCAUGGACUGAAGAGGCGACAUAGGCUCGCCUCGCCUCGCCAUUCGCCUUUUACAACACUGUCCCCAGUAAGAUAACUUAUUGCAUGUUUGGCCAAGCUUAUUUUUUCCCGUAAGUGCUUAUUUUUUUCUCAAAAAGUGCUAUUUUUAAAAAAUGAGGUGUGUUUGGCCAAACCUUUGGAAGAAAUAAGUGCUUUUGUGGAAUAGAAAAAAUAGUUCUUCAUAAUCUAAAAAAGUAGCUUCUUUUUAAAAGCACUUUCUUGAAAAGCAUUUUUGAGAAAAAUACACAAAAAAGCAUUUCUAAAAAGCUUGGCAGUAAUUGCUGCUCAAAAGUGCUUUUUAAAUUCAUUGGCCUAACACAAACUGCUUCUCACAGUACUUUGGGAAAAGUACUUCUAAAAAAGCACUUUUCAAAAUAAUGAUUUUAGAAGUUUGAUCAAAUAGACUAUUAGAAGGUUAAAAGUAACUCACCUCCGAAGUAUAGUUUGCCACAAUUUAUCAUGGAUCAUAUGGUACUUAUAACAGAUAAUUUGCUGUAGGGACAACAAUUCUGGAUGCUAUGAAA
This 2148-nucleotide long non-coding RNA is filed under the name Capsicum annuum. Its description in RNAcentral is "long non-coding RNA (CANN_LNC020888)". The record is from RNAcentral. Lineage: Eukaryota; Viridiplantae; Streptophyta; Magnoliopsida; Solanales; Solanaceae.